RNAcentral lists this ribosomal RNA (1453 nucleotides) under Apilactobacillus micheneri. Its description in RNAcentral is "bacterial SSU rRNA". It matches the Rfam family "Bacterial small subunit ribosomal RNA". Lineage: Bacteria; Bacillati; Bacillota; Bacilli; Lactobacillales; Lactobacillaceae. The record is from RNAcentral.
GGGGGGGUCUAUCUGCAGUCGACGAGUCUCCAUUUGAUUUUAUGCUUGCAUAAAUGAUUUUUGGAUUCGGGACGAGUGGCGAACUGGUGAGUAACACGUGGGUAACCUGCCCUGAAGUAGGGGAUAACAUUUGGAAACAGAUGCUAAUACCGUAUAAUUAGUUGGAACCACAUGGUUCCAACUUGAAAGAUGGCUCUGCUAUCACUUUAGGAUGGACCCGCGGCGUAUUAGCUAGUUGGUGAGAUAAAAGCUCACCAAGGCGAUGAUACGUAGCCGACCUGAGAGGGUAAUCGGCCACAUUGGGACUGAGACACGGCCCAGACUCCUACGGGAGGCAGCAGUAGGGAAUCUUCCACAAUGGACGAAAGUCUGAUGGAGCAACGCCGCGUGAGUGAAGAAGGGUUUCGGCUCGUAAAACUCUGUUGUUAAAGAAGAACAAGUGUAAGAGUAACUGUUUACGCUUUGACGGUAUUUAACCAGAAAGCCACGGCUAACUACGUGCCAGCAGCCGCGGUAAUACGUAGGUGGCAAGCGUUGUCCGGAUUUAUUGGGCGUAAAGCGAGCGCAGGUGGUUCUUUAAGUCUGUUGUGAAAGCCCUCAGCUCAACUGAGGAAAGUGCAGCGGAAGACUAAAGGACUUGAGUACAGAAGAGGAUAGUGGGAACUCCAUGUGUAGCGGUGAAAUGCGUAGAUAUAUGGAAGAACACCAGUGGCGAAGGCGGCUAUCUGGUCUGUUACUGACACUGAGGCUCGAAAGCAUGGGUUAGCGAACAGGAUUAGAUACCCUGGUAGUCCAUGCCGUAAACGAUGAAUACUAGGUGUUGGAGGGUUUCCGCCCUUCAGUGCCGCAGCUAACGCAUUAAGUAUUCCGCCUGGGGAGUACGACCGCAAGGUUGAAACUCAAAGGAAUUGACGGGGGCCCGCACAAGUGGUGGAGCAUGUGGUUUAAUUCGAUGCUACGCGAAGAACCUUACCAGGUCUUGACAUCUUCUGCCAACCUAAGAGAUUAGGCGUUCCCUUCGGGGACAGAAUGACAGGUGGUGCAUGGUUGUCGUCAGCUCGUGUCGUGAGAUGUUGGGUUAAGUCCCGCAACGAGCGCAACCCUUAUUAUUAGUUGCCAGCAUUAAGUUGGGCACUCUAGUGAGACUGCCGGUGAUAAACCGGAGGAAGGUGGGGAUGACGUCAAAUCAUCAUGCCCCUUAUGACCUGGGCUACACACGUGCUACAAUGGAUGGUACAACGAGUCGCGAAACCGCGAGGUCAAGCUAAUCUCUUAAAGCCAUUCUCAGUUCGGAUUGCAGGCUGCAACUCGCCUGCAUGAAGUUGGAAUCACUAGUAAUCGUGGAUCAGCAUGCCACGGUGAAUACGUUCCCGGGCCUUGUACACACCGCCCGUCACACCAUGAGAGUUUGUAACACCCAAAGACGAUGGAGUACUCGAGCUAGUGUCAUGAG